RNAcentral lists this long non-coding RNA (2303 nucleotides) under Ornithorhynchus anatinus (platypus). RNAcentral's name for it is "lncRNA (ENSOANG00000044223.1)". The record is from RNAcentral. Lineage: Eukaryota; Metazoa; Chordata; Mammalia; Monotremata; Ornithorhynchidae.
UGUGUCCCCGUCCCUCCCUCAUCUGCCCUCCCACCUCCCCCCGCCCGAGUUCUUCCCUCCCUCUGCAGGUUAGGGGUGGGGCGGGGGGCCGGGGCCACACCUCCCACCGGCGUCGCUGCCCGAGGGGUCCUCCCCCCGAGUGCCCCCCGGGCCGCAGCCGACUCUCUCCUCCCCAGCCUCCUCUCCAGCCCCGGCCCACCGUCAGGCCGUGCCGGGUCUCGUGAUUCUAUGUUGAACGUUAUUUAUAAAUAUGAGAGAAAUCUUUCCCUGAACACCACUGGGGAGUUUGGCCCCUCAGACCGCGGGGCGGGGGCCGGUGGUGGGGAUGGCUGCUGCUGCUGCUGAUCCCAGGGCCCCAUCUGCCCCUUCCCACCCCCUCCUGUCCUCUCCUGCCCCCUUCCUGUCCUCUCCUCUCACCGCUCACAGGACCCGCCUCCUCUGCUGAAAUCCCGAGAGGAUCCGAAGGCUCAGUUGGGCUCUGAGGCCAGGGACCUAUUUGCCACGGAAAUCCAGGACCGGAGCAGAGCUGCCACUUGCAGGGACUCUCACUGAGGCUGUGGCGGUCUUCCCUGGGUCCUGGAUCCUUCCAGCUGUCGGCGGGAGGUCCGCGGCCAUCAUUACCUCCUCUGCUAUUCCUUGGGAAGGGUGGGACCAGGGUCCAGAGCCCAGGGCCUGCUCCGUCGCCUUCCCCCCGGGGGCGGACAGGUGUGGGUCUGUGCAUGUGGGAGCACUGUUCUCCCCUUUCUGCUCUCCUCUUCAACUUCUCAUCCCGCAUUCCAGCCCCCUGCCCUGGGAGGGCAUUCUGGGGCUGAGUUUGCCUCUGUCCAGGAAUCCACUGUGGUACAAAGGAGGAGGAUUGGUGUGGCGGGGGGAGGAGGGAGUGUUCCUAGCAGCCAUGCAUCCUAAUCUCUCCACCCUCAAAUUAGGGCUCUUCACCUCAGCUGCAUCCUCCGAGACCCUCCCCUAGCCACCCCGGAAGAAGAGGGAGGAGGGAGGUCAGUCCCUUGAGCCCGGUCUCUACCAGCUCUGGACUCCAGGCUCCAUCUUUUCCACAUCUUUUGCCUUUUCCACACCCUCAACCCCUUCCCCAGUUCCACCUUCCAGUACCAGACAACCACUGUCUUCCUCCCCACACCCCAGCCAUAACCAGGGGCUAAGGCAAGGUGCCCAGAUUCCGUGCUCCUGGCCUGAGUCUCCCCUGCCCUUCCCCGUGGGGUCGGGAUGGGGUGCUGACAGAUGGGGAAGCGGUAAUGCUCCAUAAGGUAGUUUGGGGAAGAGCAGGCACCCUCCACUUAGACCUAUGCAAAGAGCAGGGAAGGGCUGAGGCGGGCAAAUUCCGGAGCGAACAGAGUUGUGCUGGGCUGGGGGUCAACACCUCGUUCUCUGUCCGGCUCCCGGGCUAGACCGUGGUUCCAGCAAGGCGAUGGACAAUCACGUGGUGGACUCGUCUCCGGGCGGACGGCCCUUCAGGUCCCCGGCCUCCUAGGGCACUGCACCCCUUCCUAGGGUGGGAGAACCUAGAGUCUUCGUUUGUUUUGUAAAGAGGAUGUGAAAACUGAACAUUGUACUGACAUUUUACUCAUCUGGGUCCCCACUCCCCUGGCCAGUGAAGGAGGGGGAACAGUCUCUCCUGAACCUGUCUCUAGCCCCCAGCCCCUCCCAGUUGGGGAUUGGGUUUUUCCUCUGGCCCCCAGGUUGAAUGUAUUUAUUACGAGAAUGGCUUUAUUUUAUUACCUCCCAUUUGUCCCCCUCCCGUGAGGCACUGGGGCUGAAGCAGCACCGCACAGGCUCUGUGAGUCCAUUCUGUCCCCUGCGCCCUCCUUCCCCCACCAGCAAUCAGUAAACGUCCAAAACCCAGGCAUCCCUGUGUGGUCUGUGGAGUUGGUCCCCAACUACCCCUGGAAAGGUCGGGGGUCUGGGUGGCUCUGAGCAACCGGAGGGGAAGGGGUGGUCGAACUCCAGCCCAGGCUGGGCUCAGGGCUGACCUUGGGCAAGUCGCUUCUCUGUGUCUCAGCGCUCUCCUUUGCAGAGAGAGGAUAAUACCCAUUCUCCUUCCUACUUAGACUGUGAACCCUAUGUGGGACCUGAUUAUUUCGUAUCCUCCCUGGUGCUUAAAACAGUGCUUGGCACAUAGUAAACCCUUAACAAAUAUCAUAGUUAUUCCUGCAGGGAGUUCUGGGGGAGACAGCUUGCCCAGAGCUGCAUCUACCCUUCCUCGCCCACACAGUUACACCCAGAAGCGAGUGUCUGGGCCCUGUAGCCCACUGAGCUCAGUACAGGCCUUCCGGCCUGCCUGACCUGAG